RNAcentral lists this ribosomal RNA (200 nucleotides) under Escherichia coli. Its description in RNAcentral is "partial 16S ribosomal RNA". It matches the Rfam family "Bacterial small subunit ribosomal RNA", at positions 1 to 208 of the family's 1533-position model. Lineage: Bacteria; Pseudomonadati; Pseudomonadota; Gammaproteobacteria; Enterobacterales; Enterobacteriaceae. The record is from RNAcentral.
AAAUUGAAGAGUUUGAUCAUGGCUCAGAUUGAACGCUGGCGGCAGGCCUAACACAUGCAAGUCGAACGGUAACAGGAAGCAGCUUGCUGAUUCGCUGACGAGUGGCGGACGGGUGAGUAAUGUCUGGGAAACUGCCUGAUGGAGGGGGAUAACUACUGGAAACGGUAGCUAAUACCGCAUAAUGUCGCAAGACCAAAGAG